RNAcentral lists this ribosomal RNA (234 nucleotides) under uncultured bacterium. Its description in RNAcentral is "partial 16S ribosomal RNA". It matches the Rfam family "Bacterial small subunit ribosomal RNA", at positions 118 to 347 of the family's 1533-position model. The record is from RNAcentral.
UGAGGAACAUGACCUUCGGCGGGGGAUAGCCGGCCCAACGGCCGGGUAAUACCGCGUACGACCACAUGGGGACAUCCCUGAGUGGUGAAAGCAGCAAUGCGCCGAUGGAGUGCCUCGCGGCCUAUCAGCUAGUUGGUGAGGUAACGGCUCACCAAGGCGACGACGGGUAGCUGGUCUGAGAGGAUGGCCAGCCACAUUGGGACUGAGACACGGCCCAGACCUNUACCGGGGAGG